RNAcentral lists this ribosomal RNA (133 nucleotides) under uncultured bacterium. RNAcentral describes it as "partial 16S ribosomal RNA". The record is from RNAcentral.
ACGGAGUUAGCCGGUGCUUAUUCAUAUGGUACCGUCAUUAUCUUCCCAUAUAAAAGGAGUUUACACACCGAAAUGCGUCAUCCUCCACGCGGCGUUGCUGCAUCAGAGUUUCCUCCAUUGUGCAAUAUUCCCC